Non-coding RNA from Hydra vulgaris (swiftwater hydra), 459 nucleotides. The record is from RefSeq and is a predicted model, not a curated record. NCBI's taxonomy places the organism in Eukaryota, Metazoa, Cnidaria, Hydrozoa, Anthoathecata, Hydridae.
AGUCUUGCAUCAAAUGUAUGUAAAAAUCUAGCUUUUAUAUAUUAACUUGUGAUCAGAGCAACUGGUAUGUUGGUUGGAUAUAUUACAUAUUCAUUCGAUGUUUAUCACCAGAAGUUAGUUCUACCUUUGCAGUACCUCUGCUCUACAUACCUCCUCGCUGGUUAAAGAAUGGAAUAUAAAUCUCAUCAAGUUGGUGUAAAAAUUUAGUUUAAUAAAUUAAGAAUUUGUAAACGUUAUCAAAAUUUUGAGUGGAGCAAUUGUUUUUCUGGUUUAGCAUGAGUAUGAAUCUGAUAUCAAUUGUAUGUACAAAGAUAGUUUACUUCUUAAAGAACCUAUCAGUAAACUAACUUAUUAUAAAACAGUUUUUAAUGGGAAUAAAAACAAAUUUUCAAAAGAUUUCAAUUAGCUAUUUGUAUAUUCAAACACUUUAUUUACUGAGAGAAGAGACUAUAGAUUCAA